Molecule: ribosomal RNA, 490 nt
Filed under: uncultured bacterium
Lineage: Bacteria
Description: partial 16S ribosomal RNA
Rfam family: Bacterial small subunit ribosomal RNA
Source: RNAcentral
GAUGAACGCUAGCUACAGGCUUAACACAUGCAAGUCGCGGGGCAGCAUGGGGGUUGCUUGCAAUCCCCGAUGGCGACCGGCGCACGGGUGAGUAACGCGUAUCCAACCUGCCCUUCACCACGGGAUAACCCGGCGAAAGUCGGACUAAUACCGUAUGUUGUCCAUUGACGGCAUCCGAUUUGGACGAAAGGUUUGGCGGUGAAGGAUGGGGAUGCGUCCGAUUAGCUGGACGGCGGGGUGACGGCCCACCGUGGCGACGAUCGGUAGGGGUUCUGAGAGGAAGGUCCCCCACACUGGAACUGAGACACGGACCAGACUCCUACGGGAGGCAGCAGUGAGGAAUAUUGGUCAAUGGGCGUAAGCCUGAACCAGCCAAGUAGCGUGCAGGAUGACGGCCCUAUGGGUUGUAAACUGCUUUUAUGCGGGGAUAAAGUGGCCCACGUGUGGGUUUUUGCAGGUACCGCAUGAAUAAGGACCGGCUAAUUCCGUG